RNAcentral lists this ribosomal RNA (253 nucleotides) under uncultured bacterium. Its description in RNAcentral is "partial 16S ribosomal RNA". It matches the Rfam family "Bacterial small subunit ribosomal RNA", at positions 524 to 776 of the family's 1533-position model. The record is from RNAcentral.
UACGGAGGGUGCAAGCGUUAUCCGGAUUCACUGGGUUUAAAGGGAGCGUAGGUGGGUUGGUAAGUCAGUGGUGAAAUCUCUGAGCUUAACUCGGAAACUGCCAUUGAUACUAUCAGUCUUGAAUAUUGUGGAGGUUAGCGGAAUAUGUCAUGUAGCGGUGAAAUGCUUAGAUAUGACAUAGAACACCAAUUGCGAAGGCAGCUGGCUACGCAUAUAUUGACACUGAGGCUCGAAAGCGUGGGGAUCAAACAGG